GGAUGUGAGGGCGAUCUGGCUAUGACAUCUGUCACCCCAUUGAUUGUCAGGGUUGAUUCGGCUGAUCUGGCUGGCUAGGCAGGUGUCCCCUUCCUCCCUCAUCGCUCCAUAUGCGUCCCUUCCGAAGCUGUGCGCUCGGUCGAAGAGGACGACCAUCCCCGAUAGAGGAGGACCGGUCUUAGGUCAAGGGUAUACGAGUAGCUGCGCUCCCCUGCUAGAACCUCCAAACAAGCUCUCAAAAAAGUUGUUACUAUUUAAAGGACAGAAAUAUUUUUCUGGAGGCUAGGAGUGGAUGCGGGAAAGACUGAAACAUAGGUUGAACAAUCU
Molecule: unclassified non-coding RNA, 327 nt
Organism: Dipodomys ordii (Ord's kangaroo rat)
Lineage: Eukaryota; Metazoa; Chordata; Mammalia; Rodentia; Heteromyidae
Gene: 7SK
Rfam family: 7SK RNA
About the family: 7SK was discovered as an abundant small nuclear RNA in the mid-70s but a possible function has only recently been suggested. Two independent studies have found that 7SK RNA binds the CDK9/cyclin T complex (known as elongation factor P-TEFb).
Source: Ensembl